UGGUGGAGUGAUUUGUCUGGUUAAUUCCGAUAACGAACGAGACUCUAUCCUGCUAACUAGGUUGUGUUUUCUCGGGUUGGUGUUUCUGGUGUUCCUUCUCGGGGCGCCGGCCCAAUCCACUUGUGAACACAACACUCUUCUUAGAGGGACUGGCGGCUGUUAGCCGCACGAGAUAGAGCAAUAACA
RNAcentral lists this ribosomal RNA (186 nucleotides) under uncultured eukaryote. RNAcentral describes it as "partial 18S ribosomal RNA". It matches the Rfam family "Eukaryotic small subunit ribosomal RNA", at positions 1299 to 1458 of the family's 1831-position model. The record is from RNAcentral.